UUUCUCUUCCUCCCGGUCUGUUCGGUGCGGCCAUUUUUAAGUUUCGGAAGCGUGUUAGUUGGUGUCGCCUAAUAUUACGUUGUUUUACUGCAUUUACAGAAUUGGUUCUAAUACGAGCCAAAAAUGCCAGGGUUUAGUAGCGUUGGUACAUUCAAAAUUUUUAUCGGCAACUUAGCUGAUAAAACUUCAAAUGCUGAUAUUAAGCCACUUUUCGAGAAAUAUGGAAAGGUUGUAGAAUGUGAUGUUGUCAAAAAUUAUGGAUUUGUGCAUAUGGAAAAUGAAGAGGCUGGAAGAAAUGCAAUUCAAAAUUUGAAUGGACAAAUAGUUCAUGGACAGCCCAUAAAAUGUGAAGCAGCAAAGAGUCGUAAAGGGCCCAAUACUCCUACGACAAAAAUUUUUGUUGGCAAUCUUACAGACAACACAAAAGCACCUCAAGUGCGGGAAUUAUUUGCUAAAUAUGGCACUGUCGUGGAAUGCGACAUAGUACGAAACUAUGGAUUUGUUCACCUAGAAGCCACAGGUGAUGUAAAUGAUGCCAUCAAGGAGCUUAAUGGACAAAUUGUGGAUGGACAACCUAUGAAGGUACAGAUAUCCACGAGCAGAGUGCGACAAAGGCCAGGAAUGGGAGAUCCAGAACAAUGCUACCGAUGCGGACGCGGAGGCCAUUGGUCCAAGGAAUGUCCAAAAGGAGGAAUGGGAGGAGGCCCGGACAGGAAUGGAUUUCGUGACAGAAUGUUUGGACGUGACCCGUAUCCUCCACCGCCGCCACCACCUUUCCUUCGGGAACGGCUGAUGGGUGGUGGCCGCUUUGGAGACUACGAAAGCUACUAUGACAGGAGGGGCUUCGACGACACCAGGGAUCUCUACGAAAGGAGAUUUACCGGUAUGUCAGGGCCUUGUGACAUGGGAACAUCCAUGUGCGGGCUAGACUUUCCACCAAUGACAAUGCCACCUCUACCUCCAAGACGAGACCCAAUGCCUCCUAUGCCUCCUCUAGGUAUGGGAUCCAUGCGAGACUCUGGCUUCUCCCGAGGCAACGAUUAUGGAAUGUUCAGCCGACGAUCACCCCCUCCAAGCGGCAAUAACGGCCGGUUCAGUUGGGUACGUAUUUCCGUGUAGACUCUGCAGCGGAAGAGAGCGUGUUCUGUAUCGUCCUGUUCGGCGCCGCAUUCCUGACAGGACUCGAUAGCACUGCUACUACUACCAAACCUAUGGACUGUACUUCAAAGGAGUUGGGCUGGAAAUCCAUGUAGGAAGAGAUGUCCAACGUGUCCCAUUUGGCGAUAUGUAAUUGUCAACCAGGACUCAG
This 1309-nucleotide unclassified non-coding RNA is filed under the name Polistes dominula (European paper wasp). RNAcentral's name for it is "rNA-binding protein lark, transcript variant X5". Lineage: Eukaryota; Metazoa; Arthropoda; Insecta; Hymenoptera; Vespidae. The record is from RNAcentral.